This 896-nucleotide ribosomal RNA is filed under the name Amanita flavorubens. Its description in RNAcentral is "partial 28S ribosomal RNA". It matches the Rfam family "Eukaryotic large subunit ribosomal RNA", at positions 81 to 964 of the family's 3401-position model. Lineage: Eukaryota; Fungi; Basidiomycota; Agaricomycetes; Agaricales; Amanitaceae. The record is from RNAcentral.
UAGUAACUGCGAGUGAAGAGGGAAAAGCUCAAAUUUAAAAUCUGGCAGUGUUUCACUGUCCGAGUUGUAACCUAGAGAAGUGUAACCUGCGCUGGACCGUGUAUAAGUCUCCUGGAAUGGAGCAUCACUGAGGGUGAGAAUCCCGUCUUUGACACGGACCACCAGUGCAUUGUGGUUGUGCUCUCAACGAGUCGAGUUGUUUGGGAAUGCAGCUCUAAAUGGGUGGUAAAUUCCAUCUAAAGCUAAAUAUUGGCGAGAGACCGAUAGCGAACAAGUACCGUGAGGGAAAGAUGAAAAGAACUUUGGAAAGAGAGUUAAACAGUAUGUGAAAUUGUUGAAAGGGAAACGUUUGAAGUCAGUCGCGUCGGUUGGGGAUCAGCCUGACAUUGUUGGGUGUACUUCCUGGUUGACGGGCCAACGUCAGUUUUGAUUGCCAGAAAAAGGCCAAAGGAAUGUGGCACCUUUGGGUGUGUUAUAGCCCUUGGUCGUAUAUGGUGGUUGGGACUGAGGAAAGCAGCGUGCCGAAAGGCCGGGUUUCGACCACGUUCACGCUGAGGAUGUUGGCAUAAUGGCUUUAAGCGACCCGUCUUGAAACACGGACCAAGGAGUCUAACAUGCAUGCGAGUGUUUGGGUGGAAAACCCUUACGCGUAAUGAAAGUGAAAGUUGAGAUCCCUGUCGUGGGGAGCAUCGACGCCCGGACCAGAACUUUUGGGACGGAUCUGCGGUAGAGCACGUAUGUUGGGACCCGAAAGAUGGUGAACUAUGCCUGAAUAGGGUGAAGCCAGAGGAAACUCUGGUGGAGGCUCGUAGCGAUUCUGACGUGCAAAUCGAUCGUCAAAUUUGGGUAUAGGGGCGAAAGACUAAUCGAACCAUCUAGUAGCUGGUUCCUGCCGA